Long non-coding RNA from Dermacentor silvarum, 789 nucleotides. RefSeq lists it as uncharacterized. The record is from RefSeq and is a predicted model, not a curated record. NCBI's taxonomy places the organism in Eukaryota, Metazoa, Arthropoda, Arachnida, Ixodida, Ixodidae. The transcript is spliced from 4 exons.
CGGAUGGAUGAAGUGAAGCUGCAGGACCCAGUGGAGUUCAAGCUGCCCUUACUGACCUUGGUACCAGGAAACACAUGAAGAAAUCGGAGCAAGGGCAACCAAAUGGAAAACUUGAAAAAGAGAAACCGAAUGCGCUGGAAGGUAUUGACUUAAGCAACUAUGCUGGUGUCGUCGUAUAGAUGACCACCCAGCCGUGACCGAUUCUUCUCUAUGCGACGCUGAUGAUGGAGACUUUCAAGAGGUAACCUCUAAGAAACGUCACAAGACUUUGGCUGAUGGAGACUCCAAGAAAAAAAAAGAGGCAAGAAGCAAAACCAGUGUACAUGGUCGUCAAAACAAGCUUCCUCCUCGCCUAAUUAAAAAGCGGGAAUCUGAUCGCUUGUUUUCUUCAAAGACUGAGUGUCAGCUACCUGCGAAGACUGAGGGAGGUGCUACAGACUCUGUUGAUUCCCCCAUUACAAAGACUCAGCAGCAUCCUACCUUUAGUACAAAAGAACUGGCUCCAACGGGGGUUCUUCGACCUAUGGUGAAUGCGUGGAAAAGCCAAUCACUCAUGCUCUGCGGGGAGGCAGCCCUCCGUCAGCUGCCCCACAGUCGGCGACUGCUCCGGCAGUCUCAUCUGCAGAUGUCCUGUGUCCUCCAAAUCGAGCAGCUUUGACAGAAGUAGUGAUCAGCAUGACAGUGGCAUUGACGUGAGCGACCAGCCAGCCUCAGCAGCAUCGUCUCAGCGCUCUUCACCCAGUAAUGAUGGCAAAGCCCCACUGCUUGGGACCAGUCCCAAAGGCUUGG